Molecule: small nuclear RNA, 313 nt
Filed under: Cavia porcellus (domestic guinea pig)
Lineage: Eukaryota; Metazoa; Chordata; Mammalia; Rodentia; Caviidae
Description: 7SK RNA
Rfam family: 7SK RNA
About the family: 7SK was discovered as an abundant small nuclear RNA in the mid-70s but a possible function has only recently been suggested.
Source: Rfam by way of RNAcentral
AGAUGUGAGGGCAGUCUGGCUGCUACAUCUGUCACCCCGUUGGUUGCUAAGGUGGAUCCGGCACGUCUAUCUGGGUUUCCCUUCCCUCCUCAGCCAGCCACAUGCUUCUCUCCCGAAGCUGCACACUCCAUUGAAGAGGCUGAACAUCCCUGUAGAGAAGAACCAAAAAUUCAGUACCAUUAUAUACAUUUUUAUGUGUAAUAUUAUUAUAUUCUUUUCUUUUUUCUUUACUGUUGUCGCCAUUUUUAUUUUAUGGAAAAACAAAACAAAAUUUUAUAACCAAAUAGUAACAGAGCAGCUAUAGUUAUUUAUU